CACAAGGUAAGUGUUUUCUUGUAUUCCUAGUGUGAUUACUUUGAUAUGGUUUUGUUUAACAGUGCCGAGAAGGAUAUUUUGCCAGAGAGUGUCCACAAGCUGGUGGGGGCGGUGGCAGUGGCCCGUUGACGUCACAAAUAUGGGGAAGGGGACGUUUCUCGAAGGACAAAACCGUGGCGGUUGGGGAAGUGAUACCUGCCAUGAGGUAAAAAAGAAAACAAAAACGUUUUAGGUGUCCAUUUUUAACGAAGAAGAGGGCCAUGUAGCAAGGGAUUUCCCACAAGGAGGAGGCAUUGGUGGCAGCAAGUGUUACAACAUAAGCACCAACUGUAUCUUCACAAAAAUAUUUUAUGUUGCAGUGUUCAUUGUUUUACCACAGCGUAAUGAAGCUGGCCACACCUCGGAAAGCUGCCCGAAUCUAUUCAGUGAAUUGACGGAAGAUGGAAAGCCGAGUGAACAAUAUAUUCCGGAAGCUGUGACAUGUGAAAGUAGUCCUCCAGAUUACAGGAAAAGAUGUACCUCAACACAUAACAUCAUUCUAAGAAGCAGGCCUGCACCUACUACUACUUCAAAACUUAAGAAUUCUGGCUACAUAAAACCAACACCUGUUCAGAAAGCUUCCGUUGCAGGUAUUCUUGCCAAAAGAAAUUUAAUUGGUUGUGCUGUCACGGGCUCCGGCAAAACAGUAGUCCAAUUAAUUAACGCUUAGUAAUUUUGAAACCUGGAUGUCCUGGUACUGACUUCAUUCGAAGGGUUCGGUGUGAACUGGGUAAGUUGAAGUAAAAGUAAUUUUGAGUGGGCACGCUGGUAAUUACGACUACUAAAAGGUCCAAUUGCAUC
This is a long non-coding RNA of Daphnia carinata, 840 nucleotides long. RefSeq lists it as uncharacterized. The record is from RefSeq and is a predicted model, not a curated record. Lineage: Eukaryota; Metazoa; Arthropoda; Branchiopoda; Diplostraca; Daphniidae. The transcript is spliced from 3 exons.